Molecule: ribosomal RNA, 1438 nt
Filed under: uncultured organism
Description: SSU rRNA
Rfam family: Bacterial small subunit ribosomal RNA
Source: RNAcentral
GGCUUAACACAUGCAAGUCGAGGGGCAUCAGGAAGAAAGCUUGCUUUCUUUGCUGGCGACCGGCGCACGGGUGAGUAACACGUAUCCAACCUGCCCUUUACUCGGGGAUAGCCUUUCGAAAGAAAGAUUAAUACCCGAUAGCAUAAUGAUUCCGCAUGGUUUCAUUAUUAAAGGAUUCCGGUAAAGGAUGGGGAUGCGUUCCAUUAGGUUGUUGGUGAGGUAACGGCCCACCAAGCCUUCGAUGGAUAGGGGUUCUGAGAGGAAGGUCCCCCACAUUGGAACUGAGACACGGUCCAAACUCCUACGGGAGGCAGCAGUGAGGAAUAUUGGUCAAUGGGCGCUAGCCUGAACCAGCCAAGUAGCGUGAAGGAUGAAGGCUCUAUGGGUCGUAAACUUCUUUUAUAUAAGAAUAAAGUGCAGUAUGUAUACUGUUUUGUAUGUAUUAUAUGAAUAAGGAUCGGCUAACUCCGUGCCAGCAGCCGCGGUAAUACGGAGGAUCCGAGCGUUAUCCGGAUUUAUUGGGUUUAAAGGGAGCGUAGGUGGACUGGUAAGUCAGUUGUGAAAGUUUGCGGCUCAACCGUAAAAUUGCAGUUGAUACUGUCAGUCUUGAGUACAGUAGAGGUGGGCGGAAUUCGUGGUGUAGCGGUGAAAUGCUUAGAUAUCACGAAGAACUCCGAUUGCGAAGGCAGCUCACUGGACUGCAACUGACACUGAUGCUCGAAAGUGUGGGUAUCAAACAGGAUUAGAUACCCUGGUAGUCCACACAGUAAACGAUGAAUACUCGCUGUUUGCGAUAUACAGUAAGCGGCCAAGCGAAAGCAUUAAGUAUUCCACCUGGGGAGUACGCCGGCAACGGUGAAACUCAAAGGAAUUGACGGGGGCCCGCACAAGCGGAGGAACAUGUGGUUUAAUUCGAUGAUACGCGAGGAACCUUACCCGGGCUUAAAUUGCAGUGGAAUGAUGUGGAAACAUGUCAGUGAGCAAUCACCGCUGUGAAGGUGCUGCAUGGUUGUCGUCAGCUCGUGCCGUGAGGUGUCGGCUUAAGUGCCAUAACGAGCGCAACCCUUAUCUUUAGUUACUAACAGGUUAUGCUGAGGACUCUAGAGAGACUGCCGUCGUAAGAUGUGAGGAAGGUGGGGAUGACGUCAAAUCAGCACGGCCCUUACGUCCGGGGCUACACACGUGUUACAAUGGGGGGUACAGAAGGCAGCUAGCGGGUGACCGUAUGCUAAUCCCAAAAUCCUCUCUCAGUUCGGAUCGAAGUCUGCAACCCGACUUCGUGAAGCUGGAUUCGCUAGUAAUCGCGCAUCAGCCACGGCGCGGUGAAUACGUUCCCGGGCCUUGUACACACCGCCCGUCAAGCCAUGGGAGCCGGGGGUACCUGAAGUACGUAACCGCAAGGAUCGUCCUAGGGUAAAACUGGUGACUGGGGCUAAGU